Long non-coding RNA from Suricata suricatta (meerkat), 908 nucleotides. RefSeq lists it as uncharacterized. The transcript has 2 exons. NCBI's taxonomy places the organism in Eukaryota, Metazoa, Chordata, Mammalia, Carnivora, Herpestidae. The record is from RefSeq and is a predicted model, not a curated record.
CCGGUUCCGUUCUCUGUCACAGGGGUGGGUUGACCCGCUUCCGGGGAGAGUGUCUGAAUAUUCUAAUCAGAACACAGAGACUUGUCGGAGCAGAGCCCUGAUUUCCUGGGCUGGGCGAAGCGUGUCUUAGCAGAGACAUCACAGUAAACUGGCUGGUUCUAAAUUAUAUUAUGCCUCACAGUCCCCUUAGCCCAGAUCACGUGCUUUCCUGCUUCCUAGUCUUCAAAGAUCAAGAAGCCUGCGGCUCAGUGUGAACACAGAGAGGGCGGCCGCCCCAGCUGCGUGUGGAAGAGGGAGGUAGGAGCACAUAUGGCUUCAUCCUCCCUGGGCCUGGGGGCGGGGGCGAGGCACCUCCAAUUAGAGCCCAUCCUGGAGGAGCGGUGUCACCUGUAUUCGAAGGCACACCAGCCCCUUGUCCAAGGAGCGAGAAGACAACAAACUCUGUGUGACAGUGACAAAUGGAGAAUGGGAGGUGUUGCCUUCCCCAGACCCAACUCCCCACCUCCGGGUGCAGGCAGAGCUGCUGAGAACCAAGUGCUGAUCAGACCUGCGCGGAGGCUAUGGCAGCAGCUGAGGGGUCCCCCAGUGCGCAGCUCCCCCAGGACGACAGGGCGGCCCCCUCAGUGCUCAGCUCCCCACCUGCAGACCGCAGUCCAGGACUUGCCACCUGCUCCUCACAGGCGUCCUGAGGAUUGAUAAGCAGCUGACAGCGGCAUUGCCGAGAGGCAUGGAGGAAAGACCAAGAACUGCUCUUAUUAAUCAAACAAAGGCACCUCCAGGGAAGCCACUGUGUUUGCAGAACUUCAGUCAGCUGAGAACUUGCUGGACUCCAUGUCAAGAAUUGAGAUCAAUCCACUAAUUGUUAAGAGACGGGCAGAGCCUUGAAAUAAAAAGAGGGUUUAACCCAC